UACGGAGGGGGCUAGCGUUGUUCGGAAUUACUGGGCGUAAAGCGCACGUAGGCGGCUUAGCAAGUCGGAAGUGAAAUCCCUCGGCUCAACCAAGGAAGUGCUUUCGAAACUGCUGAGCUUGAGUACUUAAGAGGAUCGCGGAAUUCCCGGUGUAGAGGUGAAAUUCGUAGAUAUCGGGAGGAACACCAGUGGCGAAGGCGGCGAUCUGGGAAGAUACUGACGCUGAGGUGCGAAAGCGUGGGGAGCAAACAGG
RNAcentral lists this ribosomal RNA (253 nucleotides) under uncultured bacterium. Its description in RNAcentral is "partial 16S ribosomal RNA". It matches the Rfam family "Bacterial small subunit ribosomal RNA", at positions 524 to 776 of the family's 1533-position model. The record is from RNAcentral.